RNAcentral lists this ribosomal RNA (1972 nucleotides) under human oral metagenome. RNAcentral's name for it is "bacterial LSU rRNA". It matches the Rfam family "Bacterial large subunit ribosomal RNA", at positions 1 to 1973 of the family's 2925-position model. The record is from RNAcentral.
UAAAAUAAUUAAGGGCACACAAAGGAUGCCUAGGUAGUAAGAGCCGAUGAAGGACGUGGUAAGCUGCGAUAAGCCUAGAUAAGUUGCAAUCGAACGUAAGAGUCUAGGAUUUCCGAAUGGAGCAAUCUAUUAAGAUGGAGUCUUAAUACGAAAGAGGGAACCGCGUGAACUGAAACAUCUAAGUAACGCGAGGAAAAGAAAGUAAAAACGAUACCCAAAGUAGCGGCGAGCGAACUGGGUCAAGCCUAAACCUUAAAUAUGUCAAGGAUACAGCCGUUGUAUUUAAGGGGUUGAGGGACUAAGUUGUGAAGAACUGUAAGAUAUUCAAUAUAGUGUAUUGAUGAAUUAGAAUUGUAUGGAAAGAUAAACCGUAGAAGGUGAGAGUCCUGUAUAAGUAAAUCCUUACACAUAUAACUUGGCUCCCAAGUAGCAUGGAACACGAGGAAUUCUGUGUGAAUCAGUGAGGACCAUAUCUCAUAAGGCUAAAUACUCUUACUAACCGAUAGCGCAUAGUACCGUGAGGGAAAGGUGAAAAGAACCCCUGGAGGGGAGUGAAAUAGAACCUGAAAUUGUGUGCUUACAAGCGGUCAGAGCCCAUUUGGGUGAUGGCGUGCCUUUUGGAGAAUGAUCCUGCGAGUUACGUUAAACGGCGAGGUUAAGUAUAACGGAGCCGAAGGGAAACCAAGUCUUAAUAGGGCGAUAUAGUCGUUUGGCGUAGACGCGAAACCUGGUGAUCUAAACCUGUCCAGGAUGAAGCUGUGGUAAGACACAGUGGAGGUCCUAACCCACCGCCGUUGAAAAGUUGGGGGAUGAGGUAGGUUUAGGGGUGAAAAGCCAAUCGAACCAGGAGAUAGCUCGUUCUCUCCGAAAUGCAUCUAGGUGCAGCCUUGAGUGUUCAAUUAUGGGGGUAGAGCACUGAAUGAUCUAGGGGGCAUAUUGCUUACUGAAAUCAAUCAAACUCCGAAUACCAUAAUUUAUAGCUCAGGAGUGAGACUAUGGGAGUUAACUUCCAUUGUCAAAAGGGAAACAACCCAGACCACCAGCUAAGGUCCCUAAUUAUAACUAAGUGGGAAAGGAGGUGGAGAUUCACAAACAACUAGGAGGUUGGCUUAGAAGCAGCCAUACCUUUAAAGAGUGCGUAAUAGCUCACUAGUCGAGAGUCUCUGCGCCGACAAUGUAACGGGGCUAAGUUAUAAACCGAAGCUGUGGAAUCCUCAUGGAUUGGUAGGAGAGCGUUCUGUAGGCCAUUGAAGAAGAAGGGUAACCAACUUUGGAGGUAUCAGAAGUGAGAAUGCAGGAAUAAGUAGCGAGAAAGGGGGCGAGAAUCCCCCUCGCCGGAAGACCAAGGUUUUCAGGGUAAAGCUUGUCUUCCCUGAGUAAGCCGGGACCUAAGCCCAGGCUAUAAUGCGUAGGCGAAUGGAAAACAGAUUAAUAUUUCUGUGCCAGUCAUAUAUUGUGAUGGAGGGACGCAGAAGGGUAUGCGCGCGGACGAACGGAAGUGUCCGUAGAAGUAUGUAGGAUGACUCGAUAGGAAAAUCCAUUGAGUUAUAUCUGAGGUAUGAUAUACAGUCGUAAGAUGAAUGUGCAAAUCCCACGCUGCCAAGAAAAGCUUCUAACGUUAAUAUAUGACUGCCCGUACUGUAAACCGACACAGGUGGUCAGGAUGAGAAAUCUAAGGCGGACAGGCUAACUCUCGUUAAGGAACUCUGCAAAAUAACCUCGUAACUUCGGGAGAAGAGGAGCCCUUGUGUGUGAGUAUACAUGCGAUACAAAGCGCACGAGGGUCGCAGUGAAGAGGCUCAAGCAACUGUUUAACAAAAACACAGGUCUAUGCUAAGCUGUAAGGCGAUGUAUAUGGGCUGACACCUGCCCAGUGCUGGAAGGUUAAGAGGAGGAGUGAGAGCUCCGAAUUGAAGCCCCAGUGAACGGCGGCCGUAACUAUAACGGUCCUAAGGUAGCGAAAUUCCUUGUC